RNAcentral lists this long non-coding RNA (366 nucleotides) under Trifolium pratense (red clover). Its description in RNAcentral is "long non-coding RNA (TPRA_LNC008510)". The record is from RNAcentral. Lineage: Eukaryota; Viridiplantae; Streptophyta; Magnoliopsida; Fabales; Fabaceae.
UAUUACAUUAGGCCUGGCGCCACAGUCCAUGAGUCCACCUGAUAGAAUUGGUACAGACGAAUGAACAUGAAAGUUAAAUAAUUGAUGUAUAGUAAGAAAAUGAUUCAUCUUAUUCACUGUCUUCUGUCUCCAAGUAGCAAGACUGUUAAAAGAGUGUAAGCUCUUGGGGUGUUGGAGAGGCUCUGAUAUCUUUUAGUUCCAUUUCCAAUGACCCCAAGACUAUUUUCCUCUUGUCUAGCUGCCUCUUAUAUAGUCAGUAUUAUUCAGUCCAACUAAAUUGCCCAUUGAUAGUCUGAUACUAACUAAAUCCAAUUGGGACUGCAAUUUAUAGUAUCAAUUUAUUUCAACCAGAAAUCUAGAAUAAUU